Molecule: ribosomal RNA, 225 nt
Filed under: uncultured bacterium
Lineage: Bacteria
Description: partial 16S ribosomal RNA
Rfam family: Bacterial small subunit ribosomal RNA
Source: RNAcentral
CCGUAUGCAGGGGGACAACAGUCAGAAAUGACUGCUAAUACCGCAUAAGCACACAAUGCUGCAUGGCAUGGUGUGAAAAGAUUUAUCGGCAUACGAUGGCCCCGCGUCUGAUUAGCCAGUUGGCAGGGUAAUGGCCUACCAAAGCAACGAUCAGUAGCCGGCUUGAGAGAGUGACCGGCCACAUUGGGACUGAGACACGGCCCAGACUCCUACGGGAGGCAGCAG